GCCUUCGUGGUGUAGUGGUCAGCAAGCUCGACUCGAAUUCGAGAGGUCCGUGGUUCGAGUCCUGGCGGGGGCA
Molecule: transfer RNA, 73 nt
Filed under: Stegodyphus mimosarum
Lineage: Eukaryota; Metazoa; Arthropoda; Arachnida; Araneae; Eresidae
Description: tRNA-Ser for anticodon CGA
Rfam family: tRNA
About the family: Transfer RNA (tRNA) molecules are approximately 80 nucleotides in length. Their secondary structure includes four short double-helical elements and three loops (D, anti-codon, and T loops).
Source: Rfam by way of RNAcentral